RNAcentral lists this transfer-messenger RNA (250 nucleotides) under Bifidobacteriaceae bacterium. RNAcentral's name for it is "partial transfer-messenger RNA". It matches the Rfam family "transfer-messenger RNA", at positions 115 to 374 of the family's 374-position model. From Rfam's summary of the family: Bacterial tmRNA, also known as 10Sa RNA or SsrA, is named for its dual tRNA and mRNA-like properties. Lineage: Bacteria; Bacillati; Actinomycetota; Actinomycetes; Bifidobacteriales; Bifidobacteriaceae. The record is from RNAcentral.
GCCCUCGCCGCCUAAGGCGUAGGGCCUGCCCGUCAACCCAGGAACGGCUGCGGCCUGGUGUUUGGCGUCGUCAAGCAGCCCACUGCUCGUCCACUGUGUCACCCGGUGGGCGGGGACUUCUAGGUGACUGAGCCCGGCGGCGCGUCGCCAGCAGCAGCGCCGGGGCUGAGAAAACCGUUUGCUGGCUGCGCCCGGAGAAGACCUGUGCAGUGUUUCUCGGACGGGAGUUCAAGUCUCCCCAGCUCCACCA